CCCCGGUUCGGCGAUAGCGUGGCACGGCAACGACUGCUGCAGACAGGUGGACGAGAUUUCAUGCGGAUGCGGUUCGAACCCGAGGCCGAGGA
This 92-nucleotide transfer RNA is filed under the name Streptomyces capitiformicae. Its description in RNAcentral is "tRNA-Cys". Lineage: Bacteria; Bacillati; Actinomycetota; Actinomycetes; Kitasatosporales; Streptomycetaceae. The record is from RNAcentral.